RNAcentral lists this ribosomal RNA (234 nucleotides) under Triticum aestivum (bread wheat). RNAcentral describes it as "partial small subunit ribosomal RNA". The record is from RNAcentral. Lineage: Eukaryota; Viridiplantae; Streptophyta; Magnoliopsida; Poales; Poaceae.
AUGGCAUCCAAGAGCACAACGACCCGGAUGGCGGCGGUUUUCGUGGUUCUUAUGAUCAUGUCUUUCACCCUAUCAUCAUCGCCCUGCUACGCUCGCACAAUUGAAGAUGGAGCGAAUCCUCCAACAUGCUUCCAUCAGGAAAAAUGCCAAGAUCGUUGCCAGACUGCAUGCAGCAUCAGCGGCCAACCCUCGAUUGGAGCCUACUGCAAGCUCGAUCAAUGUUGUUGUGCCUAG